This 254-nucleotide ribosomal RNA is filed under the name uncultured bacterium. Its description in RNAcentral is "partial 16S ribosomal RNA". It matches the Rfam family "Bacterial small subunit ribosomal RNA", at positions 524 to 776 of the family's 1533-position model. The record is from RNAcentral.
UACGUAGGGGGCAAGCGUUGUCCGGAAUCAUUGGGCGUAAAGCGCGUGUAGGCGGCUUGGUAAGUCUGCUCUGAAAGCCCGGGGCUCAACCCCCGGGAGGCGGGUGGAUACUGUCAAGCCCGAGUCCGGAAGAGGAGUGUGGAGUUCCUGGUGUAGCGGUGAAAUGCGCAGAUAUCAGGAGGAACACCAAUGGCGAAGGCAGCACUCUGGGACGUGACUGACGCUGAGACGCGAAAGCGUGGGGAGCAAACAGA